RNAcentral lists this ribosomal RNA (406 nucleotides) under uncultured bacterium. Its description in RNAcentral is "partial 16S ribosomal RNA". It matches the Rfam family "Bacterial small subunit ribosomal RNA", at positions 30 to 526 of the family's 1533-position model. The record is from RNAcentral.
AUUGAACGAUGGCGGCAGGCCUAACACAAGCAAGACGAGCGAGCGGCGGACGGGUGAGUAAUGUCUGGGAAACUGCCUGAUGGAGGGGGAUAAAUACUGGAAACGGUAGCUAAUACAGCAUACCAUGAGAUGUGCCCAGAUGGGAUUAGCUAGGAGGUGGGGUAACGGCUCACCUAGGCGACGAUCCCUAGAUGGUCUGAGAGGAUGACCAGCCACACUGGAACUGAGACACGGUCCAGACUCCUACGGGAGUCAGCAGUGGGGAAUAUUGCACAAUGGGCGCAAGCCUGAUGCAGCCAUGCCGCGUGUAUGAAGAAGGCCUUCGGGUUGUAAAGUACUUUCAGCGUGGAGGCGUUACCCGCAGAAGAAGCACCGGCUAACUACGUGCCAGCAGCCGCGGUAAUUC